RNAcentral lists this ribosomal RNA (118 nucleotides) under Sinocyclocheilus rhinocerous. Lineage: Eukaryota; Metazoa; Chordata; Actinopteri; Cypriniformes; Cyprinidae. The record is from RNAcentral.
UAUAGCAGCCAUAUCACCCUGCAGCCCAAAGACUGGUUGCCCACUGAAGCUAAGCAGGGUUGAGCCUGGUCAGUACCUGGAUGGGAGACCUCCUGGGAAAACUAGGUUGCUGCUGGAA